RNAcentral lists this long non-coding RNA (368 nucleotides) under Brachypodium distachyon (stiff brome). RNAcentral describes it as "long non-coding RNA (BDIS_LNC005485)". The record is from RNAcentral. Lineage: Eukaryota; Viridiplantae; Streptophyta; Magnoliopsida; Poales; Poaceae.
CGGCUUGCUAGUCUUGGGCUCAGUAUUCUGUCCGGUGGCCCACUAAGCUCACGACAACCUUCUUGCCUUAUAUGUUCAGUUUCCGAUUCUAAAAAAAGAAAGAAAAAUCUGUGUCCAGUUUCCUCUAAACAAAAUAUGUCUUCAGUUGAUUCUUAAAAAAUAAAUCUAUCUUCAGUUUCAUCACCCUCUGCUUCUUCCUCUGUUCAGUCAGGAAGAUCGUGAUAAUUCUUAAUUCUUAUGAAUAGAGAUAUCAGUAUUAUGGACUGUACGUAUAAUCUCGCAAGGCGCAAGGACGCUAAGUUGUUUUUCUGCCGCAGAAGCCAUGAGAGCCUUUGGAAACAAAAUAAACAAGUUGCUUCGUUCUCGCC